ACGGAAGGCAGCAGUGGGGGAUAUUGGACAAUGGGGGAAACCCUGAUCCAGCGACGCCGCGUGAGUGAAGAAGUAUUUCGGUAUGUAAAGCUCUAUCAGCAGGGAAGAAAAAGCGCAAGCAUUGACAGUAUCUGACUAAGAAGCUCCGGCUAAAUACGUGCCAGCAGCCGCGGUAAUACGUAUGGAGCAAGCGUUAUCCGGAUUUACUGGGUGUAAAGGGAGCGUAGACGGGACUGCAAGUCUGAUGUGAAAGGCAGGGGCUUAACCCCUGGACUGCAUUGGAAACUGUAGACCUUGAGUGCCGGAGAGGUAAGCGGAAUUCCUAGUGUAGCGGUGAAAUGCGUAGAUAUUAGGAGGAACACCAGUGGCGAAGGCGGCUUACUGGACGGUAACUGACGUUGAGGCUCGAAAGCGUGGGGAGCAAACAGGAUUAGAUACCCUGGUA
RNAcentral lists this ribosomal RNA (445 nucleotides) under uncultured Lachnospiraceae bacterium. RNAcentral's name for it is "partial 16S ribosomal RNA". It matches the Rfam family "Bacterial small subunit ribosomal RNA", at positions 341 to 792 of the family's 1533-position model. Lineage: Bacteria; Bacillati; Bacillota; Clostridia; Lachnospirales; Lachnospiraceae. The record is from RNAcentral.